RNAcentral lists this transfer RNA (71 nucleotides) under Cordylochernes scorpioides. RNAcentral describes it as "tRNA-Gly". It matches the Rfam family "tRNA". Rfam says of the family: Transfer RNA (tRNA) molecules are approximately 80 nucleotides in length. Their secondary structure includes four short double-helical elements and three loops (D, anti-codon, and T loops). Further hydrogen bonds mediate the characteristic L-shaped molecular structure. tRNAs have two regions of fundamental functional importance: the anti-codon, which is responsible for specific mRNA codon recognition, and the 3' end, to which the tRNAs corresponding amino acid is attached (by aminoacyl-tRNA synthetases). tRNAs cope with the degeneracy of the genetic code in two manners: having more than one tRNA (with a specific anti-codon) for a particular amino acid; and 'wobble' base-pairing, i.e. permitting non-standard base-pairing at the 3rd anti-codon position. Lineage: Eukaryota; Metazoa; Arthropoda; Arachnida; Pseudoscorpiones; Chernetidae. The record is from RNAcentral.
GCAUCGGUGGUUCAGUGGUAGAAUCCUCGCCUGCCACGCGGGUGGCCCGGGUUCGAUUCCCGGCCAAUGCA